RNAcentral lists this ribosomal RNA (859 nucleotides) under uncultured bacterium. RNAcentral's name for it is "bacterial SSU rRNA". It matches the Rfam family "Bacterial small subunit ribosomal RNA", at positions 59 to 916 of the family's 1533-position model. The record is from RNAcentral.
CAGUCGAACGGUAGAGGGGGCAACCCCUCGAGAGUGGCGAACGGGUGAGUAAUAUAUCGGAACGUGCCCAGUCGUGGGGGAUAACGUAGCGAAAGUUACGCUAAUACCGCAUACGAUCUACGGAUGAAAGCGGGGGACCGUAAGGCCUCGCGCGAUUGGAGCGGCCGAUAUCAGAUUAGGUAGUUGGUGGGGUAAAGGCUCACCAAGCCAACGAUCUGUAGCUGGUCUGAGAGGACGACCAGCCACACUGGAACUGAGACACGGUCCAGACUCCUACGGGAGGCAGCAGUGGGGAAUUUUGGACAAUGGACGCAAGUCUGAUCCAGCCAUUCCGCGUGCAGGAUAAAGGCCCUCGGGUUGUAAACUGCUUUUGUACGGAGCGAAAAGGUUUCCAUUAAUACUGGGAGCUCAUGACGGUACCGUAAGAAUAAGCACCGGCUAACUACGUGCCAGCAGCCGCGGUAAUACGUAGGGUGCAAGCGUUAAUCGGAAUUACUGGGCGUAAAGCGUGCGCAGGCGGUUAUGUAAGACAGAGGUGAAAUCCCCGGGCUCAACCUGGGAACUGCCUUUGUGACUGCAUAGCUAGAGUACGGUAGAGGGGGAUGGAAUUCCGCGUGUAGCAGUGAAAUGCGUAGAUAUGCGGAGGAACACCGAUGGCGAAGGCAAUCCCCUGGACCUGUACUGACGCUCAUGCACGAAAGCGUGGGGAGCAAACAGGAUUAGAUACCCUGGUAGUCCACGCCCUAAACGAUGUCAACUGGUUGUUGGGUCUUCACUGACUCAGUAACGAAGCUAACGCGUGAAGUUGACCGCCUGGGGAGUACGGGCCGCAAGGGUUGAAACUCAAAGGAAUUGACGG